AAAUAUUGCGCACUACUUAAUGGAUUAAAACAAUUAAUAACGAUAAACACAGAGAAUCACAGAUACAAGCAUAAAAAUAAAGUAUAAGAACAAAUUAGAUCUCACAGAAUAAUCUUGCUAGUGCUUCCCUAAUCGAUGCUGGAAUAAACGAAUUAGCUAGAACGCAUAAACAAAUAAAUAAAGAAAAUUAAGAAAUAAAUUGCGAAGAACAGAUGAAGAAAAGAAAACUUGAAUUAAAUUGCUCCAAAAUCACGUCCCAGCUGCUCUCCAGAAUGGGUGGCGUCUAUAUGUGAUGUCUCUCUAAGCGUGUAUCAUCACAAAUAUAUAUAUAUCUAUGGAAAUAACAAACCUAAUCUAAUAAAGUAAUAUAAAAAAUGGCCCAUGGGCCUAACUAAAGAUAUAAGGCAAAAUGCAGCCCUUUUAAAAGUCAAAGCCCACUAAAAGAAAGUAAAAGAGAUAUCAGUCGCCCAACUCUCGCCAAUUCAGCCUUAAUUUCGGACAUCACAGACAGUAUGGGCACACCGCACAGCAAACGCGCACAGAUUCAAACUCUUCAAAAUUCGAUCCUCUUAUCCAAAACCUAUCAAAACCAUGAAGAAUAUUUAUUAGUUUCACAAUUAAGUCCAAAAGAUAAUAAUAAGCAGGAACUAGGCAUUUAAAAUUCACCAAAAACACUCAAAAUAUGCGUAUAAAAUAUGCCCAAUCAAACUCCCCCACACUUAGACAAUGCUCGCCCUCGAGCAUAAGAAAAACAAAACAAAGGGAAGAACAAAACUCAAGACACAAACAAGACAAGACAAGACGCAACUAACGACGACUAGCCAUGGCAACAAUCACAACAAGCAAAUCUCAAAGUUAGAAUAAGAUACAAUCAUCAUUUUUCCUCAAACCAUUCUUGGAAUCAACAAUCAUGUGCAUUCACCCUUCAUUCGAGUCAAAAACGUGAAAAUCAAUCCAGCCUCACUAAAUUCGCUCAAAUCUCUCAAUAUCAAAAGGUAGGUAAAUUCACACACAUGCAACUCGACUCUAUCCAUUAUAAGUUUGCCACUAUGUCAAUAUCUUCAAUUCGAAAACUGAACUUAUCCAUGAAUCAAUAGGUCUUUCCACAAGGUUGUAAUGGGGCUAGGGUGCA
RNAcentral lists this long non-coding RNA (1132 nucleotides) under Salvia miltiorrhiza (redroot sage). RNAcentral describes it as "long non-coding RNA (SMIL_LNC004375)". Lineage: Eukaryota; Viridiplantae; Streptophyta; Magnoliopsida; Lamiales; Lamiaceae. The record is from RNAcentral.